UGCCAGCAGCCGCGGGAAUACGAAGGGUGCUAGCGUUGUUCGGAAUUACUGGGCGUAAAGAGCACGUAGGCGGUCUGGUAAGUCUGACUGUGAAAUCCCUCGGCACAACCGAGGAACUGCAUCGGAUACUGCCGGACUCGAGUACAGUAGGGGAGAGUGGAAUUCCUGGUGGAGCGGUGAAAUGCGUAGAUAUCAGGAGGAACGCCGGUGGCGAAAGCGACUCUCUGGACUGUAACUGACGCUGAGGUGCGAAAGCCAGGGGAGCAAACGGGAUUAGAUA
This 280-nucleotide ribosomal RNA is filed under the name uncultured bacterium. RNAcentral's name for it is "partial 16S ribosomal RNA". It matches the Rfam family "Bacterial small subunit ribosomal RNA", at positions 506 to 784 of the family's 1533-position model. The record is from RNAcentral.